RNAcentral lists this ribosomal RNA (117 nucleotides) under Propithecus coquereli (Coquerel's sifaka). The record is from RNAcentral. Lineage: Eukaryota; Metazoa; Chordata; Mammalia; Primates; Indriidae.
CUCUAAAAUCCACACCCUGAAUGAGCCCUGUCUCUUCUGAUCUCAGAGGCCCAGCAGGGUCGGCCCUGGAUAGCAUUUGGAUGGGAGACAACCUGGGAAUAUGGGGUGCUGUAGGCU